GAACUGGAGAGCUGGCAGGAGGCUGAGGAGAGGAAUGGGGGGCUCACAUCACAUCUGCUCCCAGGUGGACUUGAUUGGUCCUUUAAUUAAAACACCAUCACCAGUGUCCAAUAGUGACAUCACCCUUUGGUAAACAAAUCUCCAUGACACAUUCCACAUGGGCACAACACUGGGUGCAGCCAGUGAAGAGGAUUGGUCCAGCAGGCGAGGUCUGAUGAGCUUAAAACUCAACAGAGUGGGAGUAGCACAGAAGGUACACAAAAGAUAAUGACCAUUAACAACCAUUAACGACCAUCAAACACCAAACAUCACCCCUGGCUUGUCAGAGAUACCUGGUCUGGGAAAAGAGAAAUAAGAAAACCAAGAA
Non-coding RNA from Lonchura striata (white-rumped munia), 367 nucleotides. Lineage: Eukaryota; Metazoa; Chordata; Aves; Passeriformes; Estrildidae. The record is from RefSeq and is a predicted model, not a curated record.